RNAcentral lists this long non-coding RNA (231 nucleotides) under Homo sapiens (human). RNAcentral describes it as "non-protein coding lnc-NVL-6:1". Lineage: Eukaryota; Metazoa; Chordata; Mammalia; Primates; Hominidae. The record is from RNAcentral.
AUGGCUCGUGGACAGCAGAAAAUUCAGUCUCAGCAGAAUAAUGCCAAAAAGCAAGCUGGACAAAAGAAGAAACAAGGACAUGACCAAAAGGCUGCUGCCAAAGCUGCCUUAAUAUAUACCUGCACUGUCUGUAGGACACGAAUGCCAGACCCUAAGACCUUCAAGCAGCACUUUGAGAGCAAGCAUCCUAAGACUUCACUUCCUCCAGAAUUAGCUGAUGUUCAGGCAUAA